CUCUCCCUUACAAGCAAGUCCCUCUGGUAAGCUCCUCAGGGCAUUUAUUCUCUGAAGGCCAAAAUACUUCUAGCACUGGAGCAUAAGGCCGGAAAUGAGCCAUCCACUCACUCUGAUGGAAGAUGAUGAGAACUGUUCAGAAGUUGAAGUCUGAGACAAAUGCAAAGGGACAGAGCCAAGACAGGAACAUCCAGCAACUAACAGCCUGAAAGUCUAGAGGGAAGGAUCUCAUCAGAGAUAUGAGUAGACCUCAGAGAAGCAAGCUUGCUUCAGAUGCUUCCUUUGCAGCAAACUUUCCUCUGCCCCACCUGCUUUGACUUGGCAAUGACAAUCCCGGAGGUGACUGUGAAGAAAAGCAAGAACCCAGUUUAAAGGGACAGUCUUGGAAUGAGUAAAAUGGGAGGAGGACUGGAGACACCCCAGCCUUCUGUCAAACGGAAGAAGGAAGAACUUCAACAAUUGUUGAGAGAGCUAGUUAUUCCUCCUCUGGCUUUGAGACCAGAGUGAAGGGAGACUGACUUCGGCUCAGGAAAUCAAAGAGCAGAAGACGUGUUGAAGAGCUGGUUUGACAGCUCUGAGGUUAUCUCUCAAGAUCUCUCAAGGCCAUUUCUGCACUUACAUCUUUCCCACGGGCCCAUCAGACUUAGAGUUGGCUUGGAAAUGGGGAUUACGACUACCUUGGUGGAAGUCAGAAGAAAAUGAAAAUGUUGCUGCGGUUGAGGUCGAAGAGGUUAUGGCUAAAAUCAACAAGUCAG
Mustela erminea (ermine) is the source of this 755-nucleotide long non-coding RNA. RefSeq lists it as uncharacterized. Lineage: Eukaryota; Metazoa; Chordata; Mammalia; Carnivora; Mustelidae. The record is from RefSeq and is a predicted model, not a curated record. The transcript has 4 exons.